RNAcentral lists this transfer RNA (58 nucleotides) under Ovis aries (sheep). It matches the Rfam family "tRNA", at positions 8 to 63 of the family's 71-position model. From Rfam's summary of the family: Transfer RNA (tRNA) molecules are approximately 80 nucleotides in length. Their secondary structure includes four short double-helical elements and three loops (D, anti-codon, and T loops). The record is from Rfam by way of RNAcentral. Lineage: Eukaryota; Metazoa; Chordata; Mammalia; Artiodactyla; Bovidae.
UGGCUCAGAAGGUUAAAGCAUCUGCCUGCAAUGCAGGAGACCCGGGUUCAACCCCUGG